Non-coding RNA from Oryza glaberrima (African rice), 204 nucleotides. The record is from Rfam. Lineage: Eukaryota; Viridiplantae; Streptophyta; Magnoliopsida; Poales; Poaceae.
AAAAAAAGACACCCUAGGUUUCCGUGCCAACGUUUGACUGUUCGUUUUAUAUGAAAUUUUUUUAUAAUUAGUAUUUUCAUUGUUGUUAGAUGAUAAGAUAUAAUUAAUACUUUAUACGUGACUUAUCUUUUUAAUUUUUUCAUAAUUUUUUUAAAUAAGACGAACGGUCAAACGUUGGACACGGAGACCAGGGUUUGUCUUUUU